RNAcentral lists this ribosomal RNA (404 nucleotides) under uncultured bacterium. Its description in RNAcentral is "bacterial SSU rRNA". It matches the Rfam family "Bacterial small subunit ribosomal RNA", at positions 355 to 776 of the family's 1533-position model. The record is from RNAcentral.
UGGGGAAUAUUGCACAAUGGGGGAAACCCUGAUGCAGCGACGCCGCGUGAGUGAAGAAGUAAUUCGUUACGUAAAGCUCUAUCAGCAGGGAAGAAAAUGACGGUACCUGAGUAAGAAGCCCCGGCUAACUACGUGCCAGCAGCCGCGGUAAUACGUAGGGGGCAAGCGUUAUCCGGAUUUACUGGGUGUAAAGGGAGCGUAGACGGUACGCCAAGUCUGAAGUGAAAUGCCGCAGCUUAACUGCGGAACUGCUUUGGAAACUGGCGGGCUGGAGUGCGGGAGGGGUAAGCGGAAUUCCUAGUGUAGCGGUGAAAUGCGUAGAUAUUAGGAGGAACACCGGUGGCGAAGGCGGCUUACUGGACCGUAACUGACGUUGAGGCUCGAAAGCGUGGGGAGCAAACAGG